GGGUGGAUUGUAGUAUGGGGGAGGCUUCUUCUUAUAUGGAGUUGGAGGAGGAGGAGGUUUCUUCCCUUCUGGCUUUUGUGGGGGUAGAGGAGCCUUGAUUGGAGGAGGGUGUUUAGGGUAACUAGGUGUGAUUGGUUUCACAACAGGAGGUAGAGUUGGUGUCUUAGGAUAAGGUGGUGGAAGUGGCUUGGUCACCGGCGUAGGUGGCGGUGAAUGUACAAUAGGAGGCUGAGUGCUUGGUGGUUUGCCAUAAGGUGAGGAUGGUGGUGGCCUCACCACUCUAGGAGGCAGAGUUGGUGGUUUGGGUUUGGGCACUAUUGGUGGUGAUGGCUUGUUAUAAACUGGGGGUGAUGGCUUCUUGAUGGGAGCUGGGGGCUUGUAAAUAGGAGAAGGAGUUGGUGGUUUGGGUUUGGGCACUAUUGGUGGUGAUGGCUUCUUGAUGGGAGCUGGGGGCUUGUAAAUAGGAGAAGGAGUGGGUGGCUUGGGUUUUUCAUUGUACUCAGCUAGAGAUGAAGUGAUGAGAACCACCAGGCCAAACAAUAGCACAAGCAACUUUGAGUAACUCAUG
This 568-nucleotide long non-coding RNA is filed under the name Prunus persica (peach). Its description in RNAcentral is "long non-coding RNA (PPER_LNC000100)". Lineage: Eukaryota; Viridiplantae; Streptophyta; Magnoliopsida; Rosales; Rosaceae. The record is from RNAcentral.